CUACGGGGGGUGCAAGCGUUAUUCGGAUUUAUUGGGCGUAAAGAGCGCGUAGGCGGCUUGGUAAGUCAGAUGUGAAAGCCCGGGGCUCAACCCCGGAAGUGCAUUUGAAACUAUCAGGCUUGAGUAUGGGAGAGGGAAGUGGAAUUCCUGGUGUAGAGGUGAAAUUCGUAGAUAUCAGGAGGAACACCGGUGGCGAAGGCGACUUCCUGGACCAAUACUGACGCUGAGGCGCGAAGGCGUGGGGAGCAAACAGGAUUAGAAACCCGAGUAGUCC
RNAcentral lists this ribosomal RNA (274 nucleotides) under uncultured bacterium. RNAcentral's name for it is "partial 16S ribosomal RNA". It matches the Rfam family "Bacterial small subunit ribosomal RNA", at positions 523 to 796 of the family's 1533-position model. The record is from RNAcentral.